AUGUUACCUAAAAAACAUCUAUCUGGCUGUGAGAAAAGAAACAACAAGAAAAGAGUAGACAAGUUGAUUAAAUCUCAGGAAGGCGCUAUGAAUAUGUUUGUCUUGAGGACUGGUGCUGCUACAAAUUCAGAGCAAUUAUAUAUCACAAAUGGUGAAGAAAAAACUGAUGAUACUAAGAAUGCCGUUGAGGAAAAUCAUGUCGAGAAAAAUAAUGCUGCAGAAAAUGAUGCCGAUCAGCACACGGCAAAUUUUAGUGACCAUGAGAAUCUUGGAAAUGCAGAUGAGCAGGGUUCUUCUUUUAAUAUAUAUGAUCCUAGAACUUGGAAUAUUCUUGACAAUAAAUCAAGAGAUAUUCUCAUUGAAAAAGGACCUAUAAGGGAAUACAAUCUUGUGUUUCCCGAAGAUGAAAUUAGUGGCAGACAUUUUUCAUAUGAUUACUACACAAGAAAGUUAAGGAAUGGCGAGUUGAGUGAUCGGAGGUGGUUAGUGUACUCUAAACACGUGAAUAAAGUCUACUGUGAGAAGCUCAAAUUGCAUGAGAAUAGUGUUGAGCAUAUCACUAACAUGAAUACUUGGAAUGAGGUAAGGCUGAGGCUAAGUAAGAAGAAAACAAUUGAUAAAGACAUGCAACAAGAGAUUGCAAGGGAGAAGGAGCGACGGAGACUUGUUUUAAUUAGAAUUGUUGCUGCUUUAUAUCAAGAUAACAACGGAAUGUUUUUGGGAGUAAUUGAAAUGAUGGCAGAAUUUGAUCCUGUAAUGCAAGAGCAUCUUCGACGCAUUAAGAAUAGUGAAAUCCAUCAUCAUUAUCUUGGCCAUAAUAUUCAGAAUGAGUUAAUUUCCCUUCUUGGUCGCACUGUUAAAUAUUCUCUGUUGAGGAUAAUUAAGGAUGCAAGGUAUUUCUCUGUCAUCUUGGACUGUACACCUGACGUGAGCCAUCAAGAACAAAUGACUCUAAUUGUGAGGUGCGUAAACAUGUCAAGUACUACUACAAAAAUAGAGGAGUUUUUUCUGGAACUACUUGAAACUAAUCCAAGAGCAUUAUUCAUGCCAUGCGCUUGUCAUAGCCUGAACCUUACUCUUAGUGAUAUGGCAAAAUCUUGCAGUAAAGCUGUUACCUUCUUUGGUGUUGUGCAAAGAAUUUAUAUAUUGUUUUCAAGCUCUACUAAAAGAUGGCAGCUAUUGCUUGAUCAUGUUCCAAAAAUGACAGUUAAGUCUUUGUGUAGCACUCGAUGGGAGAGUUGAAUAAAGAGUGUUCAGGCUAUCAGAUAUCAAGCACCCGAGUUAAGAAGUAUUACUGAAUUGAAGAGAACUUCUACCGAUGACGCCAAGACUAAGAGCGACGCAAAAUCUUUGGCUAGCGCACUUGAGAAAUUUGAAUUUUUACUUGGCAUGUGCAUUGAUGUUACUCUUAAACAGAUUGAAGGUGCCAUCUCAUAUUUUAAGAAGUACAGAAAUGACGGCUUUGCAACUAGUAUGGAUAUUGCGAGAUCUAUUGCAAUUGACAUGGGUGUACAACCUUUGUUUCCUGUCAAGGUGGAAUCAUUUAGAGUUAAAUACUUUUUGGUGAUGAUUGAUGUUGCAAUUGCUUCCCUAACUACUAGAUUUGAGGAACUGAAGACAUUUGGGAGCAUAUUUGGUUUCUUGUUCAACUCGAAAGAGUGGAAGUCCUUGGGUGAUAAUGAUCUAAGAAGAUGUUGCACUAAUUUUGUCAACAAAUUCACUCACGGUAAGUCAGCAGAUGUCGAUCUAGAUGAUUUCGUUUCUGAACUAAAAGUACUGCAGAUGACAUUGCCAAACACAUUCAUGUCAGCGGAUCAGAUAUUUGAGUUUGUUAGAGAUGAUUGUUAUCUAAAUGUCUCAAUUGCUUAUCGUAUCCUUUUGACCGUACCUGUGACUGUUGCAUCAGCUGAAAGGAGUUUCUCAAAAUUGAAACUAUUGAAAAAUUAUUUGAGGUCAACGAUGUCUCAAGAAAGAUUGAAUGGAUUGGCCAUGUGCUGCAUUGAGAAGAAUAUGCUGGAUAGUAUUGAUCUUGACACUCUCAUUGAUGAUUUUGCGUCAAAAAAUGCACAAAACUCUCAUUUCACAUGA
Molecule: ribosomal RNA, 2088 nt
Filed under: Triticum aestivum (bread wheat)
Lineage: Eukaryota; Viridiplantae; Streptophyta; Magnoliopsida; Poales; Poaceae
Description: partial small subunit ribosomal RNA
Source: RNAcentral